GCGCGGCUGCUUAGUCCUGGGUCAGGGUGUCCUCCCAGGCUCCUCUCCGUGACUGCUGCCCCUUCUCCGCCUCGACCUAGAGGAGACGUGUCUUGUCCCCAGCAGCCGCCUGGCCUGCGGUGCUUGGUCACAGCAGCCUAUGCAAACGUGACAGUCCCACGUCUGAGAACUCAGCCUGGUAGAGCAGACGAAGGAGGAGACCUCGAAGCUGCUGCUUGCGAACCAAGCGUCCCCCUUUCACAGGGGGAGGGGGGAACCAGGAGGGGAGGGGGCAGAACCAGGGAGGCUGCUGACUCCCAGGUUGCUUUAAACUGGGAGAGAAGCCCAGUUUCUACUUAAGAACUAAUUGCGUCGUGUGUUGCUCCGCAUACGAAAACGCGUGCUCUUUCCAGGAACCGCGUGAAUGGAAAUCGGGGCAGGAUGGCCGAUCUCCAUGGGCGCAGCUGCGUGAGAGAGGCGGGGCGAGGUGUGCCCGGAGUCUCUGGUCCUCUCUGCGCCCACACCACACCGUCUGGAGGCCGGUGCUGGCCCCAGAGGUGCUGUCCUCGGCCGGCCGGGUCCACCUGGGGGCUGGCAGCCAGGGCCUGCGUGUGCCUCUGGCCCUGCAGGACUGGGAGAGCAGGGCGGCCUCGUCGAGGGGGUUGAGGCUGCUCGGGGGAUGAGAGCCAAGUCUGGAAGUGGCUGCAGAAAUCCCCACAGUCACCCUGCCUGCCCAGCGUCCCUUCUCCUGGAACCCGCUUUAUCUGCCAAGAGCUCAGAGCUCAUCCCGAUGGGUGCUCCCACCUGCAGCCAGGGCCCCGGCCCUGGAGCCCCACACCGCCCAGCUUCCCUGUGGUUGCCCUCUGCCCACGCCCCCUGCGGCCUCCCCUGGCCUCUACCCUCCCACCGGGCCCACAGCGCCCCCGGCUCUGCACCUGCAGCCUCAACUCCACCUGCAGGCGCUGGAGUAGCUGUGGGCAUGAGGGCUGGGCCAAGGGCGCCCCCACCCCCCACCCAGCGCUCCCCGGGGGAGGGUCGGCAGUCCAUCACUGUGCCUUCCGCUCAGGCUAAGCCAGGGGAGCACUGGGGUCCUGAGGUGCUCCCACCCGGCCGCGCCCACACACCCUGUACCUCCCGCUCCUGCAGCAGGGCAGCAGCCACCGUGACAUUGGGAGCCGGGGUCCCUGUGAGGCCUGCUGCUCCUCCAUGCCACCCAGCCAGACUUGAGUAGUGUCCAGGGGCCCUAGGGGCCUGGCGGGCGGGGCCCACCUUUACGGCCUCGGGAACCACUGUCCUCACCACCUCUGCCACUUGCAUCCCCUCGGUCAACCUUCAGAGCCCUGGGCCCCCACCAGGUCCAGGAGAUCCCUGGAGGGAGCUGGCCCCUGGAAUAUGCCAGCAGGGAGGGGCCCCUUGGUCCGGCCCUGGCGCGGCUCCUCCCUGCCCUGAGGCAGCCCGGCUCUGAGGCCCAGUUUCCCAGGGCAGACGCCCCGCAGAAUGCACAGGGCAGCUGCAGGGGUAGGCGGUGCAGCUCUGCUGUGGCAGGGCCGGGGACCCGGAACCAUGGUGGAACCCCACAGCUCACCAGGCCCCUCUUGCAGCCCCACCUAAGCGGUGCUGGGAUCACAGGAUCACGCUGGAGGACUCGCCGACUGGGGGUCACCUUGGGAGCCAGGAGCCCCUGGAGCCGCAGCCACCUCUGCCCACGUGUGCCUGUGUCUGUCUUCCCUCUCAGCACAGCUUGGCCAGCCUCAGCCCACGGCGCAGCAGGUCUAGCCGCCGGCCCCACCACUCCCCCCUUGGCCUUGCCUUCUGUUUCCUGGGAAAGGGCUGCCCAGCCCCAGCCAUGAAGGUUAGGGAGAGGCUGCGGGAGGGGCUGUAAGGCCGGAGCUUCCGGGAGAGGGGCAGGGGCUCUCACCACCCACCCAGCCCUGCCCAGCCUACCCGCACUGCUGUGGGGCUGGGAGGGACCAAGGGAGCUGGGCAUCAAGCCUGCGCUAGAGUGAGCUGGGCUUGGGGGUGGAGGAAGUAGGGGACAUACUUUGGGGAGCCCCUCUGGCUGCGUCAGUAAGCUGGGGGCUGCAGAGCCACCCCUGGGUUUUGUCACCUCCUUCUCUGCAACCACAAAGACCCCUCCUCGGCAGGACCCUGGGACUCCCGGGCUGCCGCCUCCUCCUCCUGCCACCCGACCCUAGGGCCUGAACCCCACCCAGCCAGACUUCCCCACACCCCACCCUGGUUGGCUCUUGCUUCCAGGAACCACAUACCUUGUCCUCCCCGCACCCCACCUGCAGCCUGGAAGCCCUUCUCGAAGGCCUGCUGGGCUGGGGGCUCCCAGCAGAGGGCGCUCCGGGGGCCUGCUGGCGCCCCGUUUCCUAAUGGGAGGGGGUCAGGUGGGCACUAGUGGGGGCCCGUUUCUUCACUCCUCCAUUUUUCUGUACCCCAACAAGAGGCCUUGUUUCCUACAGACAAGCCAGGACUGCCCCACGUCCUCACCAUGCUGGGCCCUGCCCUGCCUGGGGAGAGGUGCCCUUGGUACGGUUUGCGAGGGGGUCGAUCCCAGCCUCGGGGAGAGGCUAGGGGCCUGGCCUGGCCCUCCGCUGCCCACAGUCUGUGCCCUGGGCCCCCAACCCCAGUCUGUGACCACUCAGCUCUGCACCUGCCGGGGCUUGUCUUUCUCAUGGGGUUCGUGUUGCUGUUGCCCUGGGAACUUUCCAUCAGAAAACAUUGGGUGGGGUGGGCAGACAGGCUGGGGCAGGCCAGGGGACGCCUGUGAAUGGAGCCAGGUGUCUCCCGGAGGGGGGGAAGGGGCUCUCCCACCCUGCCCUUCCUGCUCCCUCCUCAGCUCCCACCCCCAGGCCUGAAGGGGUAGUGCCCCCCCCAGGUCUGCCCUGCCCUCCGGCCCUACAGCUGUCCAAGUGCCCACCCCGGGGUCAGGGGGGGGUCCCCAACUGGCCUACCUGUGGGCUUCGGCCCCUCCUCCUCACUCUGCCCCGGGCUUCCCACGAGGUGGGAGGAGGGGCCAGGCGCCCGGCUCCCGACUCCUGGUCCAAGCAGCGUCUCUCCGUGGAGACAGGGCCUGUCAGCCUUGUGGUCGAGCCUUCACAGGGCUGGCCGAGUGCCCGAGACUGAGAAGAAGAGACCAGGGGACCCGGAGGACCUGGAGCAGAUGUGGGGACACGGCCAGCCCUUCCCCUGGGGCCCCUGGGCCGGGGUCCUGUCUGAGCCAAGCCCCUCCAGGCCAGGCGGCGGCUCCGCCGGCAGCUCCCUUCCCACCCUGAGGCCUGUCACUCGGCCAGUGAGCGACGUGGACGGUCGGUGGGGUGCCCGAGGCCCUGACCCCAGCUCCCACGCUGCCACACCGUGGAGGCUGGUGUUGGGGCCACAGCCCCCAGGUCUUCUCUGCACCUCCACAGGGUCUUGCACCCGCACUUUGCACACCCUGGGCCCUGUCCCACCCCAACCCAGGCUAAGGAUGGGCCGAGCCCUGCCUGCACCAGCCCUCAGCCCUGGGGGAUACCCAGGAGCGGCAGGGGAUGUGCGGGCACCCCCACACUGCACUCUCCAUGGCAGGGGCUGAGCCAGACCAGGGCCCCCAGCAGAGAACGUGGUCAGAGCCAGGUCUCCAUGAGCAGCCCAAGCUGGUCCCCCACGCCCCACGAUGGGGACUCUUGGCCCUUGUGGGGGCUCCACAGUGGGGGCUGGUCUAACCCGUGAACACCAUGCAGCAGGGCUGGUACCCACAAUGGGCCCAAGUAGGGCUGCAGUGGCCGGCAGAGGGCCUGGCUGGAGCCGGCGCGGACAGGCCAGUUCGGCGGGGUCACUCCCCGUGCGGUUGUGGCUGGAGCAGCACCAAGGUUUGGGGUGGGAUGAGGAAGCUAAGGUGGCCCAGGAGGGGCCGGGGGAGGAUCCUUUGCUUCGCCCAGGCUGGGGCUGAGGGCUGGGGGAUACAGGCCUUUCUCACUGGCCGCUCUGAGCCCCAAGGAUGGGGCUGGCCCGGGGACCGGGGUGGGAGAGCUGAUGCAGGCAGAGAGGCCUGUUUGCCACCUUCCAGAUUGGCAGGGAGCGUACAUGGAAAUAAGAGGAGGCUGUUUUUGGCAUGAUGCAAAGAUUCCCGGGGGAGAAGAUGGGGCAAGAGUCCUGUUGCUGGGUUUCCAGCGUAAAUGUCUGUGACAGACCAGCCUAGGGCACUGGGAGCCUGAGAACCAGGGACCCACACCCCAUCUCAGUGGGCGGCCCACCCCGGCGCUGGACAGGUGCCACAUGGCGGGGUGGGGCAGGGCCCUGCAGCCGAGGGAGGGGCUUCUGUCCAUCACCAGAAACCCACUCACGCUAGCUGUAAAAAAGGAGAUAGGAGUCCCCACUGUGGCACAACAGGAUUGGGUUGGCAGCAUCUCUGCAGCACUGGGACACAGGUUCGAUCCUCGGCCCGGCGCAGUGGGUUAAGGACCUGGCGUGGCUGCAACUGUGGCUUAGGUCAGAGAUGGCCUGGCCCAGGAACUCCAUAUGCCGUGGGGUGGCCAACAAAGAAAAAGAAAAAGGGGGGGAAAGAAAAAGGGAGAGAUGGAGUUCCCGUCGUGGCUCAGUGGUUAACGAAUCUGACUAGGAACUAUGAGGUUGCGGGUUUGAUCCCUGACCUCACUCAAUGGGUUAAGGAUCCAGCAUUGCUGUGAGCUAUGGUAUAGGUUGCUGUGGCUGUGGUGUAGGCCAGAGGCUGCAGCUCCAAUUCGACCCCUAGCCUGGGAACCUCCAUAUGACGCGGGUGGGGCCCUAGAAAAGGCAAAAAGACAAAAAGAAAAAAAAAAAGAAAAAGGGAGAGAGAGAAGAGGGAGAGGCUGCAAGGAAGUUGAGGGAGACCCGACUGAGGCAGGUCCCGGCAGCUCCAGCCAGAAAACCUCUUGCUUCUCCCCCAGGAGACCCAGGGAAGGUCUGGCCGGCCCUCGGCUCUCGGCCCUCGUGGGCGCUGAGCAAGCUGCGCCCAGGCACCUGCGGUCCUGGUGCCCGCCCCGCUCUGCCCUCUGGCGCUUGUGAAGCGCUGGCUGACAAAAGCCGCAGGCCUUGUGCUCGGUGCCUGCCAAGGACAGCAGUGUCACCGGGCUCUGGGCUGCUGGCCCCGGCCAUCCAGUGACCACGCUUCCACCCCCUGCAGUGCCGGGAGAGAACAAGGUGGGUGGCGCGAACAGAGUCUCUGGGAAGGGGCACACCUUACACCCCCGGGGCAGGGGCAGUGGUGACCCUGUCAUCCCAGAGCCGUGCCCCAAUGGGGACCACCCCCCAACUGCUGUCAUGUGGAAAAAUGCCCUUCCUGCGGACAGCA
RNAcentral lists this long non-coding RNA (5296 nucleotides) under Sus scrofa (pig). Its description in RNAcentral is "lncRNA (ENSSSCG00055014478.1)". The record is from RNAcentral. Lineage: Eukaryota; Metazoa; Chordata; Mammalia; Artiodactyla; Suidae.